Molecule: long non-coding RNA, 580 nt
Filed under: Homo sapiens (human)
Lineage: Eukaryota; Metazoa; Chordata; Mammalia; Primates; Hominidae
Description: HSALNT0227689
Source: RNAcentral
GGAGAAGGCCUUUGAUGGGCUCUGUUCCAAGGCUGAGCAGAUAACAAAUGCAGGCUCAUUCUUCACUCAACGAUACUAAGUGGGGGCACAGAGCUAGGCGCUGAGAUGCAGGGUAAACAGCACAGAAGGUUCCCACGCAGGCAACCCUCUCUGCAGGGGAGAAAGACUAUGACCAGGCACACAAAGGCAUCAGCCAGGGGUGUACUGAGGAGUUUUCCAGAGGCCACAGAAUGCAUGCUAUCACAACAGACAGAAAACAGAAGCAAAGAGGAGAAUCCAGAUGUCUUCUAUUAAGCCAGGCAUUAAAGAGACUUGCAGAAAUGUGCAAGAUCAAUUUUUUUCUAUGUUUUGGAAAACAGAGUUAUUGUUCAUAGAAAACUAUGUUAGUUAUGCAUAUAUGCAAUGGGUUUAUUCAAGAAGUAUAUAUUGAAAGCAUUUCUUAGUUUUAAUUUCUAAUGUCAUAAAUAUCUAUAAAUAUAAUCUAUCUAAAUGAAAGCUCUUUAAGUUCUGUAAUACUUUUUAAGCAGAUAAACACGUGGGUGCUGAGGCUAAAACUCUGAGAAAUGCUAGCUUAGAGGAG